CCGGGGCAGCGGCAGUUGCUGCAGCAACGCGCGGAAAAAGUUGGCGGCCGCCUCGUCCGGCGAAAGGCGGCUGCCGCUGCCGCCAGCGACAGUCUCCAGAUAAUGGAUGGAGGGCAGUGAGAAGAUGUGUGUGAACUUUCUGUCAUGAAGGGCAAUUUGCAGGAACUAAUCAUCUUACAAUAGUUGGUCAUAAGAAAGAAAUCUAUCAACCAAGCAUCCUGCACAGCUAUCUGAAAUGGGAGGAAGGCAGAAAGCAACUUGCAAAUUCUGUGCAUAAUGAAGUGAGGAACAAGCUCACAUAAUGAAGACAAACAAUUAUACAACAUUUGCAUGAUUCUUUUUUCUUGCAACAUGAGACAAGACACACGGAGCUGAUUAGCAUACUGCCUUUGCCGUGAGUUUUGUUUCUUAUUUCCCCACCAUUUGGUAGGAUUCUCAAAGCCAAGAACAGGUCACAAUGUUUUGUCAAAGUUUUCUUAUAUUAUCCUAGGGAAUGUCAGGCAACCAAGAUCACCUGGCCAAAUUCAACCUGACACUGGUGACUUCUGUUUCUGUGACUGUCCUGGGGGUGUGUCCCUCACCUGAUACACAUAUGCCCAGAGCAAGACCCCAAUUCAGGCUCUAACCACUGAAUUCAACUGGCCAGAGAGUCCCAAAAUACUUGCUAGUCCCCAAAGUAUUUACUGUGCAUCUACUAUGUCCCAGC
Long non-coding RNA from Zalophus californianus (California sea lion), 706 nucleotides. RefSeq lists it as uncharacterized. The transcript is spliced from 3 exons. NCBI's taxonomy places the organism in Eukaryota, Metazoa, Chordata, Mammalia, Carnivora, Otariidae. The record is from RefSeq and is a predicted model, not a curated record.